AACGAACGCUGGCGGCAUGCCUAACACAUGCAAGUCGAACGAGACCUUCGGGUCUAGUGGCGCACGGGUGCGUAACGCGUGGGAACCUGCCCUUAGGUUCGGAAUAACUCCCCGAAAGGGGUGCUAAUACCGGAUAAUGUCUUCGGACCAAAGAUUUAUCGCCUUUGGAUGGGCCCGCGUUGGAUUAGCUAGUUGGUAGGGUAAAAGCCUACCAAGGCGACGAUCCAUAGCUGGUCUGAGAGGAUGAUCAGCCACACUGGGACUGAGACACGGCCCAGACUCCUACGGGAGGCACCAGUGCGGAAUAUUGGACAAUGGGCGAAAGCCUGAUCCAGCAAUGCCGCGUAAGUGAUGAAAGCCUUAAGGUUGUAAAGCUCUUUUACCCGGGAUGAUAAUGACAGUACCGGGAGAAUAAGCUCCGGCUAACUCCGUG
This 433-nucleotide ribosomal RNA is filed under the name uncultured bacterium. Its description in RNAcentral is "partial 16S ribosomal RNA". It matches the Rfam family "Bacterial small subunit ribosomal RNA", at positions 29 to 507 of the family's 1533-position model. The record is from RNAcentral.